Molecule: long non-coding RNA, 1183 nt
Organism: Brienomyrus brachyistius
Lineage: Eukaryota; Metazoa; Chordata; Actinopteri; Osteoglossiformes; Mormyridae
Exons: 3
Source: RefSeq, a predicted model, not a curated record
UUGCACCGGGCGGCAGACAACCGGGGGUAGAGGAGCCAGCCGUCCCGUUUAUUAGGGGAUCGCGCCGUUUUGGAAAGAAAGCUGCCCGUAUUGAUGUACGGAAAUACGCCAUUAGCCCCGCAUGUCCGUAUACACCGUCAAUCUCCCGCCGCUCGGCGUGGGAACCCCCAAAUUAUACCGCCGUCUUACCCAUCCGUGACACUUUUCUACGACGGAAACCGAUCCGCGGACAUCGAAAGCAAACUGACAAACAGAAUAAGUCCAGGACACUGGAAAAUACUUGAAAAACAUGGUAAAGUGGAUUUCAGCAUUUUCUGUCGUCACAUUUGUAUUAGAAUUGUAACAAAUGUCUUCGUUAGUACUAUAUUGUAUUUCGCAGGAUGUUCCUUGACAGAUUGGUUCUGUGGACUGUGGUGCGUUCAUGUUGAUUGUUGUCACGUCACGGAUCGGGGAAGCAGGAGCAGGAAGACGGAGAAUCGGGAAACAAAGGAUUUAUUGGGGAAACCAGCUAGGAACACGGGGCAAUAGAAGUAGCGACUUAAAUAACAUGAUUGGGGAAACAUAUUUUGAAGCGGAGUUAAAUACAUAGGACUAAUGAAAACAACUGGAAACAGCGAAUGACAUCGGGGUUCCACACGAGGUUAACGAGGGGGCGUGGCACACGGGAGGAGCGGACAAGCGGCGCAUGACAAUUGUAAGACAGACCACCUUGAAUUGUUGGACUUGUGAUACAGAGAAUGUAUUGAAGUUUUCCCCCCUCCCCUCCCUUUUAUCAGUAUGCACUCUGCAUGGCCUUGGUGUGUCUUGAGUAUUACAAAAUGCACCAUGAACUGUCUAUAUUAUAUUUUUAUUUUAAGUCAUAAUAUGUGAAUUUGAUCUGUUGUUUUUCAGUGAGUUGCAGGGAUUUGACAAAAACAUCCUUUUAGAAAUGCGUGAGGAAGGUCAAGACUCUGGUCUCCAGCUCACCGCUCUCUCUUACAUUUCCAUGGCCAUUUUGUCCGAUAGUAUUAUUGGAUUUUUCUAUGCUAUAUAUAUAUUUUUUAUGUUUAGUUAUUCUGUGCUCCAUAAUUAUAAAUAAUAGUUUAUUUUCCUUGUGACGUGUCUGUGCUUAAUAGUAUUAAAUAAGAGUUUAAACAACUACAGUUUCCUCAGUAAUGUAUUUCAUGAACUGAUACUUCCCCAA